UACGGGAGGCAGCAGUGGGGAAUAUUGCACAAUGGGCGAAAGCCUGAUGCAGCUAUGCCGCGUGUAUGAAGAAGGCCUUAGGGUUGUAAAGUACUUUCAUCGGGGAGGAAAAAACAAACUAAUAAUUUUAUUUCUUGACGUUACCCGAAAAAGAAGCACCGGCUAACUCCGUGCCAGCAGCCGCGGUAAUACGGAGGGUGCUAGCGUUAAUCAGAAUUACUGGGCGUAAAGAGCACGUAGGUGGUUUUUUUAAGUCAGAUGUGAAAUCCCUGGGCUUAACCUAGGAACUGCAUUUUGAAACUGAAAUACUAGAGUAUCGUAGAGGGAGGUAGAAUUCUAGGUGUAGCGGUGAAAUGCGUAGAUAUCUGGAGGAAUACCUGUGGCGAAAGCGGCCUCCUAAACGAAUACUGACACUGAGGUGCGAAAGCGUGGGGAGCAAACAGGGAUUAGGAUACC
Molecule: ribosomal RNA, 456 nt
Filed under: uncultured bacterium
Lineage: Bacteria
Description: bacterial SSU rRNA
Rfam family: Bacterial small subunit ribosomal RNA
Source: RNAcentral